RNAcentral lists this ribosomal RNA (253 nucleotides) under uncultured bacterium. RNAcentral describes it as "partial 16S ribosomal RNA". It matches the Rfam family "Bacterial small subunit ribosomal RNA", at positions 524 to 776 of the family's 1533-position model. The record is from RNAcentral.
UACGUAGGGUGCAAGCGUUACUCGGAAUUACUGGGCGUAAAGCGUGCGUAGGUGGUUCGUUAAGUCUGAUGUGAAAGCCCUGGGCUCAACCUGGGAAUGGCAUUGGAAACUGGCGAUCUAGAGUGCGGUAGAGGGUAGUGGAAUUCCCGGUGUAGCAGUGAAAUGCGUAGAGAUCGGGAGGAACAUCUGUGGCGAAGGCGACACCCUGGACCAGCACUGACACUGAGGCACGAAAGCGUGGGGAGCAAACAGG